ACUACGUUAAUUGUAAGUUACAGCUGGCAACAUUGUAUAUUGACGUUUCUCACGUUUCGAUUUACGGAAUACGUGGUCCAUAUUAUAACGCCUUUUGAAAUUUUGCACAUUUUAUUGAUUUUAUACAUGAUUAUGUAUUUAAUAUUGAUUACUUUAAAUGUAUAUUCUUCCUACAACAUUGUUCAAUGAUACAACUUUUUUAAGAAAUUUUAUGUGGAUAAAGAUGAAACGUAAUGCAAAUGUCAAAGAAAGAAAAUAAUUUUAGUUUAACUUAUGAAUCAUAAACAUACUGCUAAAAAUUCUAAACUUCAGGUCUAAUAAUAUAAACUACAUCUAAGUAUUUUGCAGUCCACAGGAUAAUUGAGGGAAGUUAGUUCUGAGAUGAUGAAAAUAAUAUAUGGUCUCAAAGGAAGUCGGCCUCAUUGUGAACAAGACGAAAUCCCGCUUUAUAUAAACCAAGGCAGGUUGGAAAAGUCCAGAAGCAAAUUUUAGAAGAAAAAUAUUGUACUGAAUAACUACAAUGGGCCAUUGAAGAAGAGAAGACGGCACAAGAGGGAAAUAUGGGCCUUAGAAAAAGAUAUCACGCCUCUAUCCCAUAAAGAGGUAGGCAGAGCACAUGAACUACUAAGUUUCUGUGCCACUCUUGGCAAAAAGGGGUGGAAAGAAAUCCAAAUUAUGACAUUGAAGAAGUGAAGACUAAAUAAGUAAACCAAAGGCCCCAAGAAUAUAAAAGACUGCAAUGAAAUUGUCAAGAAGAGGGUGCGAGAGCAGAA
RNAcentral lists this long non-coding RNA (773 nucleotides) under Leguminivora glycinivorella. RNAcentral describes it as "uncharacterized LOC125237487". Lineage: Eukaryota; Metazoa; Arthropoda; Insecta; Lepidoptera; Tortricidae. The record is from RNAcentral.